Molecule: long non-coding RNA, 1018 nt
Filed under: Scleropages formosus (Asian bonytongue)
Lineage: Eukaryota; Metazoa; Chordata; Actinopteri; Osteoglossiformes; Osteoglossidae
Description: lncRNA (ENSSFOG00015029036.1)
Source: RNAcentral
CGCUCGCAGACUGCCCGCAGACUGUGGCGGCGCCACAGACGGGCACGGCCGUGGUCAGCGCGUGUCUGUCUGCCGUCUGUGAGUGUUUAACUGACCCGAGAGUUACAGGCGGGCUGCAAACGGGUCCCAGCGACGGGCGCGGACAGGAGGCCUCGCGGCGGCCCGGCGCGCGCCUCACUGCGUGCGCGUGUUUGACGGAGCCACGCGUACAGAGUGGUUUUCCACGGUGAAAAGUUUUUUUUUUAAAAAAAUGUCUGUGUCACCAGACAGCUGUUCAUAAACACACAGCAGUCUAAGAUGGCUGGGUGACACAAUGGGAACUGCUUUUUUGGAUCCUCCUCUUUCAGCUUUUUGAGCACUGCUGAAGAGGCGAGAAGGGAGUCUCUGGUGAACAGUGGAGAUUGUGUAAAAAGAGAUGCUGGAUGAAGUCUGGAAGCUCUUGGACCACAGAACUUCUCAUGGACCUGAUCCAAAGCCUGAAGGUGAAACCUCAGUCAAGACAGGCAACAAGGAAUGUAAACAAGUAUUUUACACUUUUUAAGUAUUUUUGUUUUGACCUUCUCAAAGCUUGAAAAUCAUUGAUCUCUGCUGGGUUCAGAGGCAGAGGAAACAAGCCACCUGCAGCUCUGACAGGAGGCUUUGACCUUCACCAGGCUCUCCCCGCUGCAGACUAUUUUCAGGGGCGGCAUGAAGUCUGGGAGAGGCACCGGCCAGGAGUCCAUCAAGUCAGUGACUCCUGGGCGUUACUUAGACACACGGGGAACAGAAAAGAUAUGCAGAUGAGACUCUCGAUGAUGAAGACAGGUCAGUGCUGGAAAAUGAUGCCCAGAAAGGGGUGUUUUAUUGCUGUCAAACUUUACAGAAAUGAUUUAAGAGCACCAAGUAGGCAGGGCAUGCUACACAGAAUACACAACCUGUCUCUGCCACAUUUGUAGUAAGUUACCCUAAACCACAAAAGAAUAUAACAUGCAACUCAUUGCGGUCUGUCAUAUUAAAUAAAUACGAACUGGCUUGCUCA